UAGUACCUUCGGGGUCGGGUGCAAAUCCCAAUCGGCGGUAAAGCCCGCGAGCUUUGAUAAGCAGGAUUCGGUGAAAUUCCGAAGCCGACAGUAAUAGUCUGGAUGAGAGAAGGUAAGC
Molecule: non-coding RNA, 118 nt
Filed under: Lysinibacillus macroides
Lineage: Bacteria; Bacillati; Bacillota; Bacilli; Caryophanales; Bacillaceae
Description: FMN sequence
Rfam family: FMN riboswitch aptamer (RFN element)
About the family: The RFN element is a highly conserved domain that is found frequently in the 5'-untranslated regions of prokaryotic mRNAs that encode for flavin mononucleotide (FMN) biosynthesis and transport proteins.
Source: RNAcentral